Pelobates cultripes (western spadefoot toad) is the source of this 71-nucleotide non-coding RNA. The record is from the annotation of a GenBank genome assembly. Lineage: Eukaryota; Metazoa; Chordata; Amphibia; Anura; Pelobatidae.
GUGUGUGUAUAUAAUGCAGUGUGUUUGUGUAGUGUGCAUUAUAUAAACACACUGCAUUAUAUACACAGUUU